ACAGCAUAGGCGACGCAGACGUCUCUAAGACACCGUCUCCUGUCCUCUAGGGGGGCUGGGAAGCCCAGUGAGGGCAGGGGUCGUGUCUUGCCUGGGCACCAGUGCAUCUCCACUCAGGGAAUGGAUGAAUGAAUGCAAAAACCAAGGAAGCGAUUCCGCAGAAACCCAGGAUGAAAAAAGUCCCUUCAAAAACAAAAAAGUACCUACAGACGUGUAUGUGGAGCCUACGCUGCAGCAGAUCCAAUGACAGACAAGACGCCUGCUCAGAGCAGGCAUUUCAGUGUCAAAUCCAAUUAGGAUAAGACUAGGAGGCACCGGCCCAGCACUUCGGUUACAUGGAAGAAGGGGCUGGCGAGCCCUGCUCCAAUCGAGGACUUGGCAGAGGAUGUCUAUGCGGAGAUCCCAUCCUGGAAUGAGCUCUGACCCUUGCGGUGGGUUUGAGCGCACCAGAAUUCCAGGGCAGCACUGGGAGGUGUGGAAGCCAUGGGGAGGAAAAGCCGCACAAGCCAGAGACAGACCGAGUUGUGCCAGGAGGCAACAUCAGAAGGUGCUGGGCUGUCGGGGAUGGCCCGGCCACCCCACCCUGCUGCCCAGCGUUCAGAGGAAUGGCUUGAGUAAUCAGGGUACCAAAACCGCCUUGCAAAGCUGGCUCAGACACACCUGCUGGUUUCUUUUAAAAUGUAAAGGCAACACGGUACCACAGUGCAGUGUGGG
Molecule: long non-coding RNA, 714 nt
Organism: Orcinus orca (killer whale)
Lineage: Eukaryota; Metazoa; Chordata; Mammalia; Artiodactyla; Delphinidae
Exons: 3
Source: RefSeq, a predicted model, not a curated record